RNAcentral lists this ribosomal RNA (253 nucleotides) under uncultured bacterium. RNAcentral describes it as "partial 16S ribosomal RNA". It matches the Rfam family "Bacterial small subunit ribosomal RNA", at positions 524 to 776 of the family's 1533-position model. The record is from RNAcentral.
UACGGAGGAGGCAAGCGUUAUCCGGAAUUAUUGGGCGUAAAGCGUCCGUAGGUGGCUAGUCAAGUCUGCGGUCAAAGACUGGGGCUUAACCCUGGAAAGGCCGUGGAAACUGACGAGCUAGAGUGCAGUAGGGGUAGAGGGAAUUCCCGGUGUAGCGGUGAAAUGCGUAGAGCUCGGGAAGAACAUCGGUGGCGAAAGCGCUCUACUGGACUGCAACUGACACUCAGGGGCGAAAGCUAGGGGAGCGAAUGGG